ACAAAACUGGCCACCUGUGGGUGCCAUCUGGUGGUGAGCACUCUGAUCCUGAUCCAGCAAUGUUUUGGAAUGCAUGCUUACCUUUAAAGGCAUGAACGUUCUUCUGAAGUGUGCUAAAUCACGCACAGCCUGCUAGGCACGUUGGAAGAAUGAAUCCUAAUGCAAGUCCUCCUAUGGAGAUUCAUUAGAAGGGCAAAUAUUUUAAGAACUAAGGCUUGUAACAACCCUGAGAAGGAAAAAGCACUUCUUGCUCAUGGGAAGACUGAAGAACAAGGCAAGGAGAUCUGUUGUGAUGUCACAGGACACAUGAGAAAGCAUGGAAGGGCUGGGAACAGAGCUCAGCAGCUAUCUUCAUUCUGCUGCCUUUGCCACAGUGAUCAGUGAAAGAGAAAAAAAUUAAUUGAAAAAUGUGGUCAUCAAACUCAUGGAAAGUGGCAAGAUGAAAUAUAGAGUGUGUGUGGUAUAUGAAUUUGUUUUAAUUCCUGUUUUUAAGUGUAGAAGUGAUCGCGUUUCAGAUCAAUGAUGGUUCUUUAACAUUAUUUCCACUGCAUGGGUAAAAAUAAAAUAAAAAUGAUGGCCUUUAGAUGUUC
This 590-nucleotide long non-coding RNA is filed under the name Apteryx owenii (little spotted kiwi). RNAcentral describes it as "lncRNA (ENSAOWG00000005001.1)". Lineage: Eukaryota; Metazoa; Chordata; Aves; Apterygiformes; Apterygidae. The record is from RNAcentral.